Regulatory RNA element from Shimwellia blattae, 174 nucleotides. It matches the Rfam family "rncO". From Rfam's summary of the family: This family represents a bacterial regulatory element (rncO) found in the rnc leader sequence. The rnc operon is negatively auto-regulated by transcript stability. rnc, the first gene in the operon codes for RNase III which cleaves the long rncO stem II leading to transcript degradation and a reduction in translation. Lineage: Bacteria; Pseudomonadati; Pseudomonadota; Gammaproteobacteria; Enterobacterales; Enterobacteriaceae. The record is from Rfam.
CCGAGUUUUGGCUGGCUCCCGUAAGGGAGCCACAGCACACGAAACAGUGUUGAAUCAUCGGAGCCUGUCAGGUCUGUUCCGUGUGCUGAAUUUUUGACGCAUUCACAUAUUGGUAUCGCAUGAACCCCAUAGUAAUUAACCGUCUCCAGCGUAAGCUGGGCUACACUUUUCAAC